CUGGUGGGCUCAGGGUGCACGAGGAUCCCUUUGGGCGUGCAACCAGAGGGCCUUGGAGGACUUUGCACUUGGAAUGGUGCCUUGCCUCUUGGGGACUGGGCAGGGAUCAGUGUCAAGAGCACCCGCCCUCUCUGGGGAGCUGAGCUGGGCUCCUGGGCUGCAGCCCUGCUCCUCUGAGCUGACAGGAGGACUGGGUAAAUGUGGCAGCCUCCUGUGGAGCUGGGGGCCUGAGUGCUGAGCUGCCCUGGCUGCAGCGCUCAGCCUCUCUGGGCCUGGACUCUGCAGGCCUUCCUCUGGCUGCAGGCAGGUUUGCUUGCUCAGAGCUGAGCCUCCCAGGCACGGUGGAGGUGGAGAAGGCCACGAAGCUGAAGGAGAGGACGAAGCAGCAGAUUCUGGAUCCAGAUGCCAGCAGCACCCAAAACCUGCCGGACACGAGCUGGGGACAUUACUCAGGCCAGCGAGGAGCCAUUAACCCGGACUGACUCUGCCCUGCGGGGAAACCAUCGUCCAGCAGCCUCUUCAGGCUGGAGCCUUGCAGCAGGAGAUGGGCUGGCUGUGGUGGGGCCACUGGGAGGUUGGGAGUGCCCAAGCGGGGAGCACUGGUGUAGUAGGUAGGCAAUCUGCCCUGGAACAUUGACUGGGAAGAAAGACGGGUGUUCCCUGAAGUGUACAGGCCGCCUGGGGCCCAGCACACCAGCUCCUGUGAACCCCUCACACCCCUUCCCGCCUCCCUGCUGCCCUCUAGGCCUCUCUUCCUCACAGCCCCUCCAUGGGGAGGAGGAGGGCCCUGUGGAUUGUCCCUGACCCUGACCAUGGCUGCUGUUCUUCUCCCACCUUGUCCUCACUCCUUAUCAUGGGCCUCAUGCUAACCAACCGUAGCGGCUGCCCUACUACCUGCUCCCCAGUGCUGGCCACAGGCAUCUUGUUUUCAUGUUUGACUUGCAUGAUCUCACCUCGUUUUUUGUGGUUGACCUUGUGAUCACUGUGCUUUCCCAAUCCACAGAGAAUGGGUUCCUGCCCAGAGGUGGGGAGGUUGCCUGAGGUCACAGGGCAGCAGGAGGAGAGCCAGAAUGGUUAACCCUUCGCCUCCUGCUCCCUCCUCGGCCCUCUCCUUCCCACCCACUCUGCAGAGUUCGGGCUCCUUGGUGUGAAUAGACCUACCCCCCAGGUCUGGGGUGGGUGGCCUCAGGGCUCCAUCCUAGUGACAGGAGGAGGGAGAAAACAGGACUAACAUCUGGAUAAGGGAGCUGCACACUGUGGGCUGGUCCCCGUGACACCGAGGAAGUUAUAAACCACACAUACACACACACACACACACACACACACACACACACACCCCUCCCUGACGGCCUGGGAACACUGGGAAACCAGAUGUCUGCCAUCUAGCAGGAGAAGCAGCCAGAGGAUCCCCAAAGGGAAGCGGAAAAGACUGGCGAGAGAGGCUUACCUGCAGGGGCUCCGGUGGCAGGGAGAGAAGGAGCUCAGGAAGAGACUAGUGCUCACUCCCAGCAGCAGGUUGCUCCCAUAUGAUGCUACAUGACAAGUGAAAAGGGCCGGCCCACGUAGGGACACAGGAGGGCAGGAGAGGGUCAUUGCCAGAACUGAAAAAUUCAGCGUCCAGAUGGGGUGGGUAAGGCGUUUCCACCAUCCUCAGAGGGAGGAAGGGAGACAGGCCAGGUCCUCGCACAUUUACUGGAGGACCCAAAGGCCUGGGUGUUAGGACCUGUGGGAGCUGAGAGGCUGGGUUCCCCCGGGGCCCAUACUCAGCCACACAGUGGUUCCCGUUCAAGCUGAGAAGGGCCUGGGGAGCUUGGAGAAUGAGCUGCUUUCCUCAGAGGCACAGAAAGAGAA
Long non-coding RNA from Myotis daubentonii (Daubenton's bat), 1851 nucleotides. RefSeq lists it as uncharacterized. The record is from RefSeq and is a predicted model, not a curated record. Lineage: Eukaryota; Metazoa; Chordata; Mammalia; Chiroptera; Vespertilionidae.